AGGCCAGUAGCUCAAUUGGUAGAGCAGCGGAUUCCAAAUCCGCAGGUCGGGGGUUCGAUUCCCUCCUGGCCUG
RNAcentral lists this transfer RNA (73 nucleotides) under Myxococcales bacterium. RNAcentral's name for it is "tRNA-Trp". It matches the Rfam family "tRNA". From Rfam's summary of the family: Transfer RNA (tRNA) molecules are approximately 80 nucleotides in length. Lineage: Bacteria; Pseudomonadati; Myxococcota; Myxococcia; Myxococcales. The record is from RNAcentral.